UCAUCCCUUCCCGUCAUUUGCGCAGAGGACACUGGAGGAAGAGGAUGGUGAAGAGAAGGUGAAGGAUCCUAUGGCUUCAAGGAGGCUGAGGACAUCCCACCGUCAGAGUAACUGUUGUGUUUGAUGGCACUGAAUUCGGACAUGAAGAUCUUUUCCCUUUUCUUUGCUGUUCUCUUUUUAGUGCUCCAAGGCACUUUAGGUUUCAUGCGUGCACCUAGUAAUGAUGUGCAAUGUAAACAGGCUGGGGGUACCUGUUCCACCGACCACUGUCCUCUACCCAAUAUGAGGUCCUUCGGACGUUGCACGCAAGGAGUCCCUUGCUGUCGGACUGUGUAUGAAUAGUGACCAUGGGCAUCUCAGAUGGGCUAAGCAGAGCUUCUGGCAAUGUAAGAGCUGUAUCAUCCCAUUGGAAACUCUGGAAUUUUGAGCUGAAAAUAUGCAUUUAACACACACAUGCACACACCAAAACAUGAACAACAGCAGAAAGAAAACAAACUCCUCCACAAACAAACUUAACGACCUGAAGAAACUCUAAAGCAAUUCUUGAACCACCCAGAAAAGACCAAUAUUUCUCAUUUUUCUAAAAUGUUUUUUCUGUUGAAACUAUAUUGCAGCCACCAACAUCUAUCUCAGAGAGCAGAUCACCAACAUGCAGAAGUCUGUCCCAAUGCGAGGAUGCAAAGCAGGUUCUUCCUUUGGCCCUCAAAACAGAUAUUAAUUAUUUUCUUUUCCCUUUAGACUUAGCAUUAAUGUGAAUAAUGCUAGAAGACAAAUGUCUCCAGGAGACACUGAACGCUCAGCUGGGGGGUUCAUAUUUCAUAGUCUACGUGUCUCAAGAAAUUUUAAUAAACUUGCUCUGGAAGA
Long non-coding RNA from Harpia harpyja (harpy eagle), 864 nucleotides. RefSeq lists it as uncharacterized. The transcript has 4 exons. The record is from RefSeq and is a predicted model, not a curated record. Lineage: Eukaryota; Metazoa; Chordata; Aves; Accipitriformes; Accipitridae.